UUUCAACGCUUCUUUGUUUGGAUUCGCAAGGAUGGUAUUGUUCUUAUACGCCUCCAGAUGGGUGUCGGCACGUUGUGAUUGAGUAAGAGGAUCCAUGUUGUCCCAAUCAAAAACAAAACUCAGUAGUUUGCACCUGCAUCUACUUAAGGCUGACUGCUACAAAACUGGAGGUUCUGGAUUAAAAACAAGUGUUCUGGAGACUAGUCCGGCAUGAAGGCAUAAUUACAGCUUGAAAGUGGAUAUAGACAUGAGCAAUAACAAGAAAACAAGAAAACCAAUAGUAAGUGAAAAUUAAAAAUACCAGGAAUGCUGGAACUCUGAAACAAAUUCGGAAAAUGCCUGAAACUCUUAGUAAUCCAGGCAGCAUCCUCGGAAAGAGAAACAGUUAAUAUUUCAGAUCAUUUCUUCAUUUGU
Molecule: long non-coding RNA, 414 nt
Organism: Mobula hypostoma (lesser devil ray)
Lineage: Eukaryota; Metazoa; Chordata; Chondrichthyes; Myliobatiformes; Myliobatidae
Exons: 3
Source: RefSeq, a predicted model, not a curated record